CAGUCGCCGCGGUAAUACGUAGGUCCCGAGCGUUGUCCGAAUUUAUUGGGCGUAAAGCGAGCGCAGGCGGUUAGAUAAGUCUGAAGUUAAAGGCUGUGGCUUAACCAUAGUACGCUUUGGCAACUGUUUAACUUGAGUGCAAGAGGGGAGAGUGGAAUUCCAUGUGUAGCGGUGAAAUGCGUAGAUAUAUGGAGGAACACCGGUGGCGAAAGCGGCUCUCUGGCUUGUAACUGACGCUGAGGCUCGAAAGCGUGGGGAGCAAACAGGAUUAGAUACCCCAGUAGUCCCUGUCUCUUAUACA
Molecule: ribosomal RNA, 301 nt
Filed under: uncultured bacterium
Lineage: Bacteria
Description: partial 16S ribosomal RNA
Rfam family: Bacterial small subunit ribosomal RNA
Source: RNAcentral